Molecule: unclassified non-coding RNA, 384 nt
Filed under: Hevea brasiliensis (rubber tree)
Lineage: Eukaryota; Viridiplantae; Streptophyta; Magnoliopsida; Malpighiales; Euphorbiaceae
Source: RNAcentral
AAAGAGAAGCAUCUGAUUUGAUUUCUUGACUGUUUCUUAAUUUCUCUAUUUUUUAAUUUAAAAAUUAAAUAAAUACUAUGCAGACACAUACACAUAUACUUUUUUUGUAUUGUUGCAAUGUAAUUAUAAAGUUUGAAUCAAAUAAAAGGAUUUAAUCAAAGAGUGACAUAUUAUAAGUGUAUUACCGUAUUAUAUAAUAUACUUUUUAACUUUCAAUUAUACAUGCCUUUUUUGAUAAAAUAUAGUCCUUAAUUAUAUAUUUUUAAAAAAUUAAUGAUUGGGUAUAAGAGAUAUUUAUUUUCUUUUAGGGGAUGUGAGAGAUAUAUUGUAUUACUAUGAUGCAUGUAGGCAUUAAAAUAAUAAAAUUAAAAUUUUCUUUCAUUA